RNAcentral lists this ribosomal RNA (253 nucleotides) under uncultured bacterium. Its description in RNAcentral is "partial 16S ribosomal RNA". It matches the Rfam family "Bacterial small subunit ribosomal RNA", at positions 524 to 776 of the family's 1533-position model. The record is from RNAcentral.
UACGUAGGGUGCGAGCGUUGUCCGGAAUUAUUGGGCGUAAAGGGCUCGUAGGCGGUCUGUCGCGUCGGGAGUGAAAACUCAGGGCUUAACCCUGAGCCUGCUCCCGAUACGGGCAGACUAGAGGUAUGCAGGGGAGAACGGAAUUCCUGGUGUAGCGGUGAAAUGCGCAGAUAUCAGGAGGAACACCGGUGGCGAAGGCGGGUCUCUGGGCAGUAACUGACGCUGAGGAGCGAAAGCGUGGGGAGCGAACAGG